This 253-nucleotide ribosomal RNA is filed under the name uncultured bacterium. RNAcentral describes it as "partial 16S ribosomal RNA". It matches the Rfam family "Bacterial small subunit ribosomal RNA", at positions 524 to 776 of the family's 1533-position model. The record is from RNAcentral.
UACGAAGGGUGCAAGCGUUACUCGGAAUCACUGGGCGUAAAGCGUGCGUAGGCGGUUUCUUAAGUCUGUCGUGAAAGCCCAGGGCUCAACCCUGGAAGUGCACUCGAAACUGGAAGGCUAGAGUACCGGAGAGGUUGGUGGAAUUCUCGGUGUAGAGGUGAAAUUCGUAGAUAUCGAGAGGAACACCGGUGGCGAAGGCGGCCAACUGGACGAGUACUGACGCUGAGACACGAAAGCGUGGGGAGCAAACAGG